CAACCAUAACACUCAUCACAACAACUGUGUGAAUACAACCAUAACAUAGUAUUAAUGGUAUUAUUAAUAAAAACCUGCAAACACACUUACAUUUCUGUAAGCCUGGUCUGGUCCUGCACUCUCCACCGUGGUCCACACUACAGGAGAAGCAGAAUGACAUAGUACUGCUGUAUCCAUUUAUUUAUUGGUGCCUCUUCUUCACAUACAUGCAUAAGUAUCUGUAGCGUGUCAGACACACACUCUGUACUCACUGCAGCUUCUCCAGUUUACAGCUGGGAUCCUCCAGUACAGCAGAGAGCAGCUUCACUCCUGAGUCUCCUGGGUGAUUGUAGCUCAGGUCCAGCUCUCUCAGGUGUGAGGGGUUUGACCUCAGAGCUGAAGCCAGCGAAGAACAGCCUUCUUCUGUGACUCUACAGCCUGACAGCCUGCAGAGAGACAGACAAAAACUCUCAAAUAAAUAAGAUCACCUCACCUAUACAAGUAUUACUUUCAAGUAAAUGUGAGUAUUUUCAUACAAUGUGAGUCAUUUCAACAUUUACAGUUAAAAGUGUAGAAUAUUAUGUAACAUUGACCUCAGUGUCCCCAGUUUAGGAUAGAAUACCCAGUAAAACUGAUCUCCAGUUUACAGUGUGGAAUAUCCAGUAAUACAGACCUCAGUAUGUCCAGUUUACAGGGGGAAUACCCAGUAAUACUUACCUCGGUAUCUCCAGUUUACAGUGGGAAUACGCAGUAAUACAGACGUCAGUAUGUCCAGUUUACAGUGAGAAUACCUAGUAAUACAGACCUCAGUAUGUCUAGUUUACAGUGUGGUGUACCCAGUAAUACUGACCUCAGUAUCUCCAGUGUACAGUGUGAAUCCCCCAGUCCAGUAGAGAGCAGCUUCACUCCUGAAUCCUGCAGGUCAUUGUCACUCAGGUCCAGCUCUCUCAGGUGUGAGGAGUUUGAUCUGAGAGCUGAAGCCAGCACCUCACAGCAUUCCUCUGUGAGUUCACACCGGUCCACCCUUAGGAAAAAAACACUUAUAAAACCACCUUUUGCAUUGGUGCUCUGUACGUGAGCCAUCACUGUCAUCACAGAAGAGUUUUUGUAAAACAAUGAAUUUAUUGUACAGUAUAUAAAAAUAUUUAAGUUCUAAACUGCAACAUGACUGUCACUUUCCUUUGUCUAUUAGCUCUGCUGACCAACACAAACCAUGUGCUAAGAACGACUGGCUUUCUGCUUUACUGCUUAAUUAUUUCUAACGUGGUUUACAGCUGAUUAGUUUGCGGGAUUUUAGGAGGUAGGAGAAGAACAAAGAAUCUGUUUGUGUUUGUUUAUUAUGUUGCUGUUUAAGUGCAUUAUGGGUCAUCCUGCCAAACGUCUUUUUGGGAAACACAUUUUCUGUAAUAGGGUAAUUAUUGUUAACUAAAAUAAAAUUGAAAAAUUAGAAAACAUUUUCAUAAAAAAUACUACUUAGCUAAAGUACUGGUAUGUUUGUCUUUAAUUACCAUCAAUCCCUGGAACAGCAAUGGUCAGCUCUCAGCCUUAAAAUUAUAGCGUUAGAUCAAUGGGUAACGCUUGAGAGAGGUAUUCCAUGUCAGUAUGGUGUUAGAUCAGUGGGUAACGCUUGAGGGAGGUUAUCCAUGACAGUAUGGUGUUAGAUCAGUGGGAAACGCUUGAGAGAGGUUAUCCAUGACAGUAUGGUAUUAGAUCAGUGGGUAAUGUUUGAGGGAGGAUAUCCAUGACAGUAUGGUAUUAGAUCAGUGGGUAACAUUUGAGGGAGGUUAUCCAUGACAGUAUGGUAUUAGAUCAGUGGGUAACAUUUGAGGGAGGUAUUCCAUGUCAGUAUGGUGUUAGAUCAGUGGGUAACGCUUGAGGGAGGUUAUCCAUGACAGUAUGGUAUUAGAUCAGUGGGUAACAUUUGAGGGAGGUUAUCCAUGACAGUAUGGUAUUAGAUCAGUAUGUAACGCUUGAGGGAGGGUAUCCAUGACAUUAUGGUAUUAGAUCAAUGGGUAACACUUGAGGGAGGGUAUCCAUGACAGUAUAGUAUUAGAUCAGUGGGUAACGUUUGAGGGAGGUUAUCCAUGACAGUAUGGUAUUAGAUCAGUGGGUAACAUUUGAGGGAGGUACUCCAUGUCAGUAUGGUGUUAGAUCAGUGGGUAACGCUUGGGGGAGGUAUUCCCUGUCAGUAUGGUGUUAGAUCAGUGGGUAACGCUUGAGGGAGGUUAUCCAUGACAGUAUGGUGUUAGAUCAGUGGGUAACGCUUGAGGGAGGUUAUCCAUGACAGUAUGGUGUUAGAUCAAUGGGUAACGUUAGAGGGAGGUUAUCCAUGACAGUAUGGUAAGUUGGUUGACAACGUCAUGGUAACUGAUGGUGUUUAUAAGGGCACCAGAGCACCCAGGCCGCGGCUCCGUGGUCGACUACGUCAUGGUAACUGAUGGGACUGGCACUUGGUCACUUUUAAUAUCCGUUCUUAAAUGUUUCAUGUUCUUUUUAUUAUGUUCAUUUUCACAUGUAUUCCUACACUUUUACUUUGUCUAUUUUUACAUUUUGCACUUUGUUUCUUAUAUUUUCUGUAAAGCACUUUGAAUGACCUUGAUGUAUGAACAUGUGCUAGACAAAGAAACUUGACUUGAACUGAAAUUAAAUGUUCACUCUCUACUCACUUCAGUUUCUCCAGUUUACAGCUGGGAUCCUCCAGUACAGCAGAGAGCAGCUUCACUCCUGAGUCUCCUGGGUGAUUGUAGCUCAGGUCCAGCUCUCUCAGGUGUGAGGGGUUUGACCUCAGAGCUGAAGCCAGGGAAGAACAGCCUUCUUCUGUGACUCUACAGAAUGACAGCCUGCAGAGAGACAGACAAAAACUCUCAGAUAAAUAAGAUUACCUCAUGAUUACAAGUAUUACUUUCAAGUAAAUGUGAGUAUUUUCAUGCAAUGUGAGUCAUUUCAACAUUUACAGUUAAAAGUGUGGAAUACCCAGUAAUACUGACCUCAGUAUCUCCAGUUUACAGCUGGGAUCCUCCAGUCCAGCAGAGAGCAGCUUCACUCCUGAAUCCUGCAGGUCAUUGUCACUCAGGUCCAGCUCUCUCAGGUGUGAGGGGUUUGACCUCAGAGCUGAAGCCAGG
Long non-coding RNA from Brienomyrus brachyistius, 3101 nucleotides. RefSeq lists it as uncharacterized. The transcript is spliced from 7 exons. NCBI's taxonomy places the organism in Eukaryota, Metazoa, Chordata, Actinopteri, Osteoglossiformes, Mormyridae. The record is from RefSeq and is a predicted model, not a curated record.